Long non-coding RNA from Oncorhynchus keta (chum salmon), 475 nucleotides. RefSeq lists it as uncharacterized. The record is from RefSeq and is a predicted model, not a curated record. NCBI's taxonomy places the organism in Eukaryota, Metazoa, Chordata, Actinopteri, Salmoniformes, Salmonidae. The transcript has 3 exons.
GGAGGGACAAAAGUAUUAGGGCACAUCACUACAUGAUGAUUAACAUGAGGUUUACCGUUAACAUGAUGUCUACCGUUAACAUGAUGUCUACCGUUAACAUGAUGUCUACCAUUAACAGUAGGUCUACCAUUAACAUGAGGUCUACCAUUAACAUGAGGUCUACCAUUAACAGUAGGUCUACCAUUAACAGUAGGUCUACCAUUAACAGUUGGUCUACCAUUAACAGUAGGUCUACCAUUAACAGUUGGUCUACCAUUAACAGUUGGUCUACCAUUAACAGUAGGUCUACCAUUAACAGUAGGUCUACCAUUAACAGUUGGUCUACCAUUAACAGUUGGUCUACCAUUAACAGUAGGUCUACCAUUAACAGUCAGUCUACCAUUAACAGUAGGUCUACCAUUAACAGUAGGUCUACCAUUAACAGUUGGUCUACCAUUAACAGUAGGUCUACCAUUAACAGUAGGUCUACCAUUAA